Molecule: unclassified non-coding RNA, 249 nt
Filed under: Hevea brasiliensis (rubber tree)
Lineage: Eukaryota; Viridiplantae; Streptophyta; Magnoliopsida; Malpighiales; Euphorbiaceae
Source: RNAcentral
UCAAUCACAAGAAAUUGCAAGAGCAGAUAAUUGAAGCUGAGGAGAAGUAUAGUUCACAGCUUGGCACUUUGAAUGAGUCUCUGCAAGCACAAGAUAUGAAACACAAGGAAUUAACUGAGGUGAAAGAAGCAUUUGAUGGUCUCAGCCUUGAGCUUGAGAACUCUAGAAAGAGUUUGCAAGAGUUGGAGCAAAAGCUCCAAUUUUCUGAAGUUGAGGCAAUGAGGUUUGAGGAGUUGCACAAACAAAGUG